This 377-nucleotide ribosomal RNA is filed under the name uncultured eukaryote. RNAcentral's name for it is "partial 18S ribosomal RNA". It matches the Rfam family "Eukaryotic small subunit ribosomal RNA", at positions 592 to 976 of the family's 1831-position model. The record is from RNAcentral.
CAAUAGCGUAUAUUAAAGUUGUUGCAGUUAAAAAGCUCGUAGUUGGAUUUCGGGGUGGCCUGGCUGGUCCGCCGCAAGGUGAGUACUGGUCAGCCGCCCUUCCUCUCGAAAGCCCCGACUGCUCUUUACUGCAGUGGUCGGGUAGUUCGGGACGUUUACUUUGAAAAAAUUAGAGUGUUCAAGGCAGGCUAUCGCCUGAAUACAUUAGCAUGGAAUAAUGGAAGAGGACCUCGGUCCUAUUUUGUUGGUUUCUAGGGCCGAAGUAAUGAUUAAGAGGGACAGUUGGGGGCAUUCGUAUUUAAUUGUCAGAGGUGAAGUUCUUGGAUUUAUGAAAGACGAACUAGUGCGAAAGCAUUUGCCAAGGAUGUUUUCAUUAA